CCUACGGGAGGCAGCAGUGAGGAAUAUUGGUCAAUGGACGCAAGUCUGAACCAGCCAUGCCGCGUGCAGGAUGACGGCCCUAUGAGUUGUAAACUUCUUUUAUACGAGGAUAAACCCCGGUACGUGUACCUGUUUGCAUGUAUCUUACGAAUAAGGAUCGGCUAACUCCGUGCCAGCAGCCGCGGUAAUACGGAGGAUCCGAGCGUUAUCCGGAUUUAUUGGGUUUAAAGGGUGCGUAGGCGGUUUGAUAAGUCAGAUGUGAAAGGUCGCGGCUCAACCGUCAAAUUGCAUUUGAUACUGUAAGUCUAGAGAACAGUUGAGGUAGGCGGAA
Molecule: ribosomal RNA, 331 nt
Filed under: uncultured bacterium
Lineage: Bacteria
Description: partial 16S ribosomal RNA
Rfam family: Bacterial small subunit ribosomal RNA
Source: RNAcentral